Molecule: ribosomal RNA, 254 nt
Filed under: uncultured bacterium
Lineage: Bacteria
Description: partial 16S ribosomal RNA
Rfam family: Bacterial small subunit ribosomal RNA
Source: RNAcentral
CGACGUAGGGUGCGAGCGUUGUCCGGAAUUAUUGGGCGUAAAGAGCUCGUAGGUGGCGUGUCGCGUCUGCCGUGAAAGCCCACGGCUUAACUGUGGGUCUGCGGUGGAUACGGGCAGGCUGGAGGCUGGUAGGGGCAAGCGGAAUUCCUGGUGUAGCGGUGAAAUGCGCAGAUAUCAGGAGGAACACCGGUGGCGAAGGCGGCUUGCUGGGCCAGUUCUGACGCUGAGGAGCGAAAGCGUGGGGAGCGAACAGG